RNAcentral lists this ribosomal RNA (459 nucleotides) under uncultured bacterium. RNAcentral describes it as "partial 16S ribosomal RNA". It matches the Rfam family "Bacterial small subunit ribosomal RNA", at positions 338 to 795 of the family's 1533-position model. The record is from RNAcentral.
CCUACGGGAGGCAGCAGUGAGGAAUAUUGGUCAAUGGCCGAGAGGCUGAACCAGCCAAGUCGCGUGAGGGAAGAAUGUCCUAUGGAUUGUAAACCUCUUUUGUCAGGGAGCAAAGUCACCCACGUGUGUGUGUUUGAGAGUACCGGAAGAAAAAGCAUCGGCUAACUCCGUGCCAGCAGCCGCGGUAAUACGGAGGAUGCGAGCGUUAUCCGGAUUUAUUGGGUUUAAGGGGUGCGUAGGCGGUUUAGAAAGUCAGCGGUAAAAUCGGGGAGCUCAACUCCAUCCAGCCGUUGAAACUGAUGAUCUUGAGUGGGCGAGAAGUAGGCGGAAUGGGUGGUGUAGCGGUGAAAUGCAUAGAUAUCACGCAGAACUCCGAUUGCGAAGGCAGCAUACCGACGCACGACUGACGCUGAAGCACGAAAGCGUGGGUAUCGAACAGGAUUAGAUACCCUUGUAGUC